RNAcentral lists this ribosomal RNA (459 nucleotides) under uncultured bacterium. RNAcentral's name for it is "partial 16S ribosomal RNA". It matches the Rfam family "Bacterial small subunit ribosomal RNA", at positions 339 to 795 of the family's 1533-position model. The record is from RNAcentral.
CUACGGGUGGCAGCAGUAAGGAAUAUUGGUCAAUGGAGGGAACUCUGAACCAGCCACUCCGCGUGGAGGAAGAAGGCCCUAUGGGUUGUAAACUUCUUUUAGAUGGGAAUAAAAUGAUCUCUGCGGAGGUUACUGAAGGUACCAUCAGAAUAAGCACCGGCUAACUCCGUGCCAGCAGCCGCGGUAAUACGGAGGGUGCGAGCGUUAUCCGGAUUUACUGGGUUUAAAGGGUGCGUAGGCGGGAUAAUAAGUCUGUGGUGAAAGGUUGUAGCUUAACUAUAAAAUUGCCAUGGAUACUGUUGUUCUUGAAUUACAAUGAGGAUGGCGGAAUGUGACAUGUAGCGGUGAAAUGCAUAGAUAUGUCAUAGAACACCAAUUGCGAAGGCAGCUAUCUAGUUGUGUAUUGACGCUGAGGCACGAAAGCGUGGGGAUCGAACAGGAUUAGAUACCCGAGUAGUC